UCCUGGCUCAGGACGAACGCUGGCGGCGUGCUUAACACAUGCAAGUCGAACGGAGAUUCAGCAAUGGAUCUUAGUGGCGAACGGGUGAGUAACGCGUAGGCAAUCUGCCUUCUAGAUGGGGACAACAUCCCGAAAGGGGUGCUAAUACCGAAUGUUGUAUGAUCUUCGCAUGGAGAUGAUACUAAAGGUGGCCUCUGAAUAUGCUACCGCUAGUAGAUGAGCCUGCGUCUGAUUAGCUAGUUGGAGGGGUAACGGCCCACCAAGGCUUCGAUCAGUAGCCGGUCUGAGAGGAUGAACGGCCACACUGGGACUGAGACACGGCCCAGACUCCUACGGGAGGCAGCAGUGGGGAAUCUUCCGCAAUGGACGAAAGUCUGACGGAGCAACGCCGCGUGAGUGAAGAAGGUUUUCGGAUCGUAAAGCUCUUUCGUUAGGGACGAACGUGCUCUUUGUGAAUAAUGAGGAGUAAUGACGGUACCUAAAUAAGAAGCCACGGCUAACUACGUGCCAGCAGCCGCGGUAAUACGUAGGUGGCAAGCGUUGUCCGGAAUUAUUGGGCGUAAAGCGCGCGCAG
Molecule: ribosomal RNA, 574 nt
Filed under: uncultured Veillonellaceae bacterium
Lineage: Bacteria; Bacillati; Bacillota; Negativicutes; Veillonellales; Veillonellaceae
Description: bacterial SSU rRNA
Rfam family: Bacterial small subunit ribosomal RNA
Source: RNAcentral